This is a small nuclear RNA of Gorilla gorilla gorilla (western lowland gorilla), 107 nucleotides long. NCBI's taxonomy places the organism in Eukaryota, Metazoa, Chordata, Mammalia, Primates, Hominidae. The record is from Ensembl.
GUGCUCGCUUCAGCAGCACAUAUACAAAAAUUGGAAUGAUACAGAGAAGAUUAGCAUGGACCCUGUAUGAGUAUGAUACACAAAUUUGUGAAAAAUAAAAAUAAAAA